AUUGAACGCUGGCGGCAGGCCUAACACAUGCAAGUCGAACGGUAACAGGAAGAAGCUUGCUUCUUUGCUGACGAGUGGCGGACGGGUGAGUAAUGUCUGGGAAACUGCCUGAUGGAGGGGGAUAACUACUGGAAACGGUAGCUAAUACCGCAUAAUGUCGCAAGACCAAAGAGGGGGACCUUCGGGCCUCUUGCCAUCGGAUGUGCCCAGAUGGGAUUAGCUAGUAGGUGGGGUAACGGCUCACCUAGGCGACGAUCCCUAGCUGGUCUGAGAGGAUGACCAGCCACACUGGAACUGAGACACGGUCCAGACUCCUACGGGAGGCAGCAGUGGGGAAUAUUGCACAAUGGGCGCAAGCCUGAUGCAGCUAUGCCGCGUGUAUGAAGAAGGCCUUCGGGUUGUAAAGUACUUUCAGCGGGGAGGAAGGGAGUAAAGUUAAUACCUUUGCUCAUUGACGUUACCCGCAGAAGAAGCACCGGCUAACUCCGCG
This 490-nucleotide ribosomal RNA is filed under the name uncultured bacterium. RNAcentral's name for it is "partial 16S ribosomal RNA". It matches the Rfam family "Bacterial small subunit ribosomal RNA", at positions 30 to 507 of the family's 1533-position model. The record is from RNAcentral.